Molecule: transfer RNA, 73 nt
Filed under: Paramuricea clavata
Lineage: Eukaryota; Metazoa; Cnidaria; Anthozoa; Malacalcyonacea; Plexauridae
Rfam family: tRNA
About the family: Transfer RNA (tRNA) molecules are approximately 80 nucleotides in length. Their secondary structure includes four short double-helical elements and three loops (D, anti-codon, and T loops). Further hydrogen bonds mediate the characteristic L-shaped molecular structure. tRNAs have two regions of fundamental functional importance: the anti-codon, which is responsible for specific mRNA codon recognition, and the 3' end, to which the tRNAs corresponding amino acid is attached (by aminoacyl-tRNA synthetases). tRNAs cope with the degeneracy of the genetic code in two manners: having more than one tRNA (with a specific anti-codon) for a particular amino acid; and 'wobble' base-pairing, i.e. permitting non-standard base-pairing at the 3rd anti-codon position.
Source: Rfam by way of RNAcentral
GACCGCGUAGCUCAGUUGGCAGAGUAUUGGGCUAGUAUUCCAAAGGUCGUAGGUUCGAUUCCCACCGUGGCCG